GCAUCCGUGGGAGUCCGCUGGCGUCUAGGAUCGCUGCCCUCCGAAGGCAGAGGCCACUGGUUCGAAUCCAGUCGGGUGCACCA
RNAcentral lists this transfer RNA (83 nucleotides) under Lysobacteraceae bacterium. Its description in RNAcentral is "Xanthomonadaceae bacterium tRNA-Arg". The stretch from base 21 to 80 matches the Rfam family "tRNA". From Rfam's summary of the family: Transfer RNA (tRNA) molecules are approximately 80 nucleotides in length. Lineage: Bacteria; Pseudomonadati; Pseudomonadota; Gammaproteobacteria; Lysobacterales; Lysobacteraceae. The record is from RNAcentral.